Molecule: ribosomal RNA, 328 nt
Filed under: uncultured eukaryote
Lineage: Eukaryota
Description: partial 18S ribosomal RNA
Rfam family: Eukaryotic small subunit ribosomal RNA
Source: RNAcentral
CCCUUAGAUGUCCUGGGCCGCACGCGCGUUACACUGAUGCAUUCAACGAGCUUAUAACCUUGGCCGAGAGGCCUGGGCAAUCUUGUUAACGUGCAUCGUGAUAGGGAUAGAUUAUUGAAAUUAUUAAUCUUGAACGAGGAAUUCCUAGUAAACGCAGAUCAUCAAUCUGCAUUGAUUACGUCCCUGCCCUUUGUACACACCGCCCGUCGCACCCACCGAUUGGAUGGUCCGGUGAAGCCUCGGGAUUGUGGUUCUUGCCGCUUUAUUGUGGCGUGACCGCGAGAACUUGUCUAAACCUUAUCAUCUAGAGGAAGGUGAAGUCGUAACA